RNAcentral lists this long non-coding RNA (203 nucleotides) under Homo sapiens (human). RNAcentral's name for it is "HSALNT0104510". The record is from RNAcentral. Lineage: Eukaryota; Metazoa; Chordata; Mammalia; Primates; Hominidae.
UUUUUUUUGAGAUGGAGUCUUGCUCUGCUGCCCAGGUUGGAGUGCAGUGCCAUGAUCCUGGCUCACUGCAACUUCCACCUUAGCGAUUCUCCUGCCUCAGCCUCCCAAGUAGCCGGGAUUACAGGCACAUGCCACCAUGUCCCGGCAAAGCCUGCUUUCUACAAAAAAUAUGCUUGAGCCCAGGAAGCGGAGGUUGCAGUGAG